CCUUUGUGUCUUUUGCACGCGCCAGUUCUAACGCUUCCUCCAUUUUUUUGCCACUGGAUCUGGUGCCGCGCUGCUCAGAUCUGACUCCUAUUUAGUACCAAACGACGAAUGCUUAAUUUCUUGGAUUAAGAGAUAGUUGAUUAAUAUACAAGUGAAGUAAAGUAAGCGAGAGAGAGAGAAAGAGAGAUUUGGCGACGAUGUUUAGCGGAGAAGCGUCGCCAAAUCGAAAUUAAGAAGAGAAAACGGUGGUUUUUCAGAGAGAGAAUUUGUGAUUAUUAGAUUGACGGAGGAGAUGAUGUUUGUGUGCGAGUGAGAGAGUACUCUUUACUAGACUCUCUUGUGGUUGGUGUGGUUGAGAAAUUCGCCAUUGAAUUCUGAGGUAAUUUACGGAGGUGUGCCACUGGCGCACUGUAUCACUGUUCCGUAGUUACAGAGUAGAGUAGAGUAGAUUAGAUUAGAUUGUACUGCGGGUGCCGUUUUUGGCGGGUUGCCCCGGGCUUUUCCGGGUGGGUUGAUGUGCAUUUUUAGUGGACCACGAUUUACGGAUUCGGACCUUGUGGGUAUAGUGUGG
RNAcentral lists this long non-coding RNA (571 nucleotides) under Ricinus communis (castor bean). RNAcentral describes it as "long non-coding RNA (RCOM_LNC001340)". Lineage: Eukaryota; Viridiplantae; Streptophyta; Magnoliopsida; Malpighiales; Euphorbiaceae. The record is from RNAcentral.